This 483-nucleotide ribosomal RNA is filed under the name uncultured bacterium. Its description in RNAcentral is "partial 16S ribosomal RNA". It matches the Rfam family "Bacterial small subunit ribosomal RNA", at positions 29 to 523 of the family's 1533-position model. The record is from RNAcentral.
AGUGAACGCUGGCGGCGUGCUUAGCACAUGCAAGUCGAACGAGAACGGAUUAUAGCUUGCUAUAAUUGUCAGCUAAGUGGCGCACGGGUGAGUAAUGUAUAGGUAAUAUGCCUCUUACUAAGGGAUAACAAAUGGAAACGUUUGCUAAUACCUUAUACUCCUUAUUAACAUAAGUUAAUAAGGGAAAGAUUUAUUGGUAAGAGAUUAGCCUGUAUUGUAUCAGUUAGUUGGUGGGGUAAUGGCUUACCAAGACUAUGACACAUAACUGGUUUGAGAGGAUGAUCAGUCACACUGGAACUGAGACACGGUCCAGACUCCUACGGGAGGCAGCAGUGGGGAAUAUUGCACAAUGGACGAAAGUCUGAUGCAGCAACGCCGCGUGGAGGAUGACACAUUUCGGUGCGUAAACUCCUUUUAUAUGAGAAGAUAUGACGGUAUUAUAUGAAUAAGCACCGGCUAACUCCGUGCCAGCCGCCGCGGUAA